CCUACGGGAGGCAGCAGUGAGGAAUAUUGGUCAAUGGACGGAAGUCUGAACCAGCCAUGCCGCGUGCAGGAUGACGGCUCUAUGAGUUGUAAACUGCUUUUGUACGAGAAUAAUAGUUCUUACGUGUAGGGAUUUGAAUGUAUCGUACGAAUAAGGAUCGGCUAACUCCGUGCCAGCAGCCGCGGUAAUACGGAGGAUGCGAGCGUUAUCCGGAUUUAUUGGGUUUAAAGGGUGCGCAGGCGGCCUGUUAAGUCAGCGGUAAAAGCCCGGGGCUCAACCCCGGCGAGCCGUUGAAACUGGCGGGCUGGAGUUGGAGAGAAGUACGCGGAAUGCGCGGUGUAGCGGUGAAAUGCUUAGAUAUCGCGCAGAACCCCGAUUGCGAAGGCAGCGUACCGGCUCCACACUGACGCUGAGGCACGAAAGCGUGGGUAUCGAACAGGAUUAGAUACCCUGGUAGUC
This 459-nucleotide ribosomal RNA is filed under the name uncultured bacterium. RNAcentral describes it as "partial 16S ribosomal RNA". It matches the Rfam family "Bacterial small subunit ribosomal RNA", at positions 338 to 795 of the family's 1533-position model. The record is from RNAcentral.